RNAcentral lists this ribosomal RNA (460 nucleotides) under uncultured bacterium. RNAcentral's name for it is "partial 16S ribosomal RNA". It matches the Rfam family "Bacterial small subunit ribosomal RNA", at positions 338 to 795 of the family's 1533-position model. The record is from RNAcentral.
CCUACGGGUGGCAGCAGUGAGGAAUAUUGGUCAAUGGACGCAAGUCUGAACCAGCCAUGCCGCGUGCAGGACGACGGCUCUAUGAGUUGUAAACUGCUUUUGUACGAGGGUAAACGCAGAUACGCGUAUCUGUCUGAAAGUAUCGUACGAAUAAGGAUCGGCUAACUCCGUGCCAGCAGCCGCGGUAAUACGGAGGAUUCAAGCGUUAUCCGGAUUUAUUGGGUUUAAGGGGUGCGUAGGCGGUCGGAUAAGUUAGUGGUGAAAUCCCGAGGCUCAACGUCGGAAUUGCCUCUGAUACUGUUGGGCUAGAGAGCAGAUGCGGUAGGAGGAAUGUAGGGUGUAGCGGUGAAAUGCAUAGAGAUCAUACAGAACACCGAUUGCGAAGGCAGCUUACCAAGCUACGUCUGACGUUGAGGCACGAAAGCGUGGGUAGCAAACAGGAUUAGAUACCCUAGUAGUC